AUUGAACGCUGGCGGCAUGCCUUACACAUGCAAGUCGAACGGUAACGGGCCUUCGGGUGCCGACGAGUGGCGGACGGGGGCGUAAUACAUCGGAACGUGCCCGAUCGUGGGGUAUAACGAGGCGAAAGCUUUGCUAAUACCGCAUACGACCUACGGAUGAAAGCAGGGGAACGCAAGGCCUUUUGCGGACGUGGCGGCCGAUGGCAGAUUAGGUAGUUGGUGGGAUAAAAGCUUACCAAGCCGACGAUCUGUAGCUGGUCUGAGAGGAUGAUCAGCCACACUGGGACUGAGACACGGCCCAGACUCCUACGGGAGGCAGCAGUGGGGAAUUUUGGACAAUGGGCGCAAGCCUGAUCCAGCCAUGCCGCGUGCAGGAUGAAGGCCUUCGGGUUGUAAACUGCUUUUGUACGGAAAGAAAAGCCUUAUUUUAAUACAGGAGGGUCAUGACGGUACCGAAAGAAUAAGCACCGGCUAACUACGUG
RNAcentral lists this ribosomal RNA (482 nucleotides) under uncultured bacterium. Its description in RNAcentral is "partial 16S ribosomal RNA". It matches the Rfam family "Bacterial small subunit ribosomal RNA", at positions 30 to 507 of the family's 1533-position model. The record is from RNAcentral.